Molecule: long non-coding RNA, 403 nt
Organism: Cucumis sativus (cucumber)
Lineage: Eukaryota; Viridiplantae; Streptophyta; Magnoliopsida; Cucurbitales; Cucurbitaceae
Exons: 3
Source: RefSeq, a predicted model, not a curated record
GCGAAGCAAGACUGCGCCGCUGCCAGUCCAGAUCUGCGGCGCCGUUGCUCUUCCGUCGCUGCAACCGUCGGCCGCCAUCUCUGUUCGCGAAGCAAGGCCGCCGCGUGAACCUGUAACCGCCGGCUGUCUCCCCUCUCCUUUCUCCUCUGUUUUCAGCCCAGCCGCCGCCGAUUCCUUCUCCUCCGUCGUCUGCACUGCCGCGCGACUCUCCGGCCAUCUGUAUACGGUCUCUCCGUCGCACGUCAUCUCUUCGCAAAGCCACUGCUCGAUUUCUUUCGUGAAGAUUUGGGUUCGUUCUUCAUAGACUUCAACGUGGUUAAGGAGCUUAACAAAUUUGAAGGCAAAGGUAAUAAAGGCGGCAAACCGGCGAGGGGCAGGAAGGAAGCGUGAUGCCAUAGGAAAC